This 251-nucleotide ribosomal RNA is filed under the name uncultured bacterium. RNAcentral describes it as "partial 16S ribosomal RNA". It matches the Rfam family "Bacterial small subunit ribosomal RNA", at positions 524 to 776 of the family's 1533-position model. The record is from RNAcentral.
UACAGAGGUCCCAAGCGUUGUUCGGAUUCACUGGGCGUAAAGGGUGCGUAGGUGGCUUGGUAAGUUUGAUGUGAAAUCUCCGGGCUUAACCCGGAAAUGGCAUUGAAUACUAUUGAGCUGGAGGUUUGGAGGGGGGACUGGAAUUCUCGGUGUAGCAGUGAAAUGCGUAGAUAUCGAGAGGAACACCUGCGGCGAAGGCGGGUGCUGGGCUGAUACUGACGCUGAGGCGCGAAAGCCAGGGAGCGAACGGG